Pseudopipra pipra is the source of this 2066-nucleotide long non-coding RNA. RefSeq lists it as uncharacterized. The transcript has 3 exons. Lineage: Eukaryota; Metazoa; Chordata; Aves; Passeriformes; Pipridae. The record is from RefSeq and is a predicted model, not a curated record.
CGGGGGGCUCAGAGCAGUUACCCCCGCCCGGGACCCGUAGGGCGAUCAUUCCCACCCUGCCCCUUUCCUGUGGUGUGAUGGUUCCAGUCCAAACCCAGUCAGCUGUCUGGAAAUGGCAAGUGAGACACUUGUUGCCAUGGUGAUCCUUAAUAGUUCUGACUCAGAUGUAGCGUUGCUACGGCAACCGCAUCCGCAGCCCUUGGGAGGCAAUGCCGGCACGAUUUUUCUCUCGUAGUGGAAAAGGGCUCCGAAGCCCCAUUUUGCUCACUCCUUGCUGCAGUGCAGUGAUGAAGCUUUUAGGCUGUUUUGUUAUUCUCCUAAUGAACGGCAAUCCUGAUCCUUCACCAGAGGAUCUGCUGCUAUUCUGCAGGCUAAAAGUGCUCCGGACCGCCUCACCAUGGGCACAGUGUCUGCACCGUAAGGCGACCCCAGUCUCUCCCUUCCCGUGGCUCAUCAGAAAAAAAAAAAUAGUUUUCAAAAGGAGCAGUAACCUUUCUUCCUAGUAUCCUUCUCAGACAGAGGCAAGUAAGAAUGAGGAGGCAUGUGAGUUCUACAUGUCGGUAUCCCUGGACCUACAUCUCAGCCAACCCCUGUCCUGAGGGACCUGGGCAUGGAUCCCAGGCUUGUCAGAGAAUCACACCAGGCUCUCUCCUACCUGACAUCCUGGUUCUUCUAGACACCAUCUUGCACUGGUAGGACAUAGCUGGAUGUCAUGGAGCAGGCCUUCAAAGAAACUGGGAUGACUGAAGUAUGGAAAAAAUUACAAAUUCAUCAUGAAGGUGGGAGAUUACUGCAAAUAACAGUCUGAGAAGGGUCUGAGAAGGAUUUAAAAGUGGUAGAUGCAAAGGAUAAAGGAUAUUGCUAAAGAAAUCAGUCACAUUCUACACUUGGAGUGUCCAGGAUGACUCUUGUGUGUCUGGCUCAGGUGACAGAAGGACAGAAGCCUUAUUAGCAAGGGUAAGUUAGUAACACAAGUAAUGGGGAAGAUUUUGGCAUGGAGCCUGAUGAAUGUAAACCAACCUUAAAGAGGUGUUGGGGGACAAAGACACAAGAAUGAAGAUUCUGGAGAUGUCUGGGAUGGGGAAAGAUAUCUCAGAGUUCCUGCAGAGUACAGAUGAAGGUCCCCUGCAGGAUAAGUUAAAAGGGAAAAAUAGGGCUGAAUUAAGGUCUGAGCUAUAAGGGCUCCAGCAGAGAGAGGCUCUCAGGAAAUGAAUGAACCUGUGGUAUCUGCAAGGUUUCAAGGAGAGGAAUCUUGGGACUUGGGAAACAGCCAGUGGAGAGUGAAAGCCAGAUAGAGAUGCUCCAAGAGCAAGUCUAAGGCUCUUCAGAGGUUAAUACGGCUUAUCCAAGGAGUUUAGGGAUAUGGGGAGUUGUGAAGGUAAUUGAAGAGACUUACUCAAAAGUAACUUUUAAAUAUGUGCAAUGACUUGCUUGGUAUGCAGAGAGAAACUCAUCCCUAGUGUAAAUCUAAUGAAAUCAGUAGCUUUGGCUUUAGCUUAGUCUGUUAAUUCCACAUGGUGAAGGCAGAAUGAGGGGAAGUGGCCCUUCUUCCUGCCUCCUUAGAAGAAAGUGCCCAUCAUUGGAAAGGUGCUUGUGAGAGGCUGCAGCUGUGCCUGCACUGGGCCUGUGCAGUCUCACGUGAGCCUUUGUCCCACAUGAUGCCAGAGCAGGGCUUGUGCCCUGUCACUGCAUGUGUACCUGUUCAGAGAUGGGACCCCGUGCAGUAGCCUGCCUUCGUCUUGCAGCCAUCCCCAAGGAACAAACUGGGUCUGGAUUUGAUUUCUUCACCCCAUUGUGAACUCACAGAUCCCUCCUUCCCAGUGCAAUGGUGCUGGUUCUAGUAAUCAUGGUCUGUGCAGCAUAUUUUGACCAUGACACCUGUUGGCAUCAAAGUGAGAGGAGAACCACACCAGGGACAGCAAAGCCUAUUGGAUCUAAGACUAAAUGAAGCAUAGGACUAAAUAUUGCAAUGUUUUUAUCUCUACUUUUGGCACGAUAAGUUACAGAAUUUGCUGAAUGUGAUUUCUUGCCUCAGAACUGUAAUAAAACACAAAAAUUGGACUGAA